AAACUGGCUCAUCUGUGCAUCAUAACAGGGAUUUUGGAAUUGAGGCUGUUGUGAUGGUUGUGGGCUAGAGCAGUGCUGCACUACUGGGACACUUACAGGCUACCUCCACACUUAGCAUUACUCAGAAGACAGACAUUCUCUUCUCCCUUUAGCUGCCUGAACUGGAAGGCUUUUGCAUGACUGUAAAGGAAAGAGCUUAAUUCUUCUUUAUGACCUGCUUCAAGCAAAGCUGCAGCAACCAAAUGGACCGUGCUGUGCGAAACCCAACGUCAUGCUCGUGUGAGUCAAACAUCCCCCUCUGGUGCUGGAGAGUUCAGCUAAAGAGCAAACAAUGGUAAACACCAGCAGCUGAAAGCAGGAGUUCUUUUGCUUUCUUCAUGGCAACAGCCCAGCAGACUUACAGAGAUCAAAAAUUACCUUAUCACCUGGAGGUCUGCGGAGAAGCCAAGAGAUGUUGAAACCUCCCACCACCUCCAACAUCAAAGGCUGCAGCAGGGCAUGACUACUAUCACAUAUGACUUUAACCGUGUCAUAAGGUAGCAGCAGUGUCCAGAAGCAAGGCCUUUUCUAUCUUACAGCUUUUGAGAACACCUUGUCUGAACAGAUGCAGGCUGCUUUCUGCUCUGUACCUUUGUGCAGGGAGAGUUCAGAGUUCGUCGUGCAGUCCCGUCGUGCUGUGCUUGCCUCCUUUUGAGUUCACUGUAUUAAAGAUGAAGGUGCAGUCCUGAUGCCUCGUGCUGUGUAUAAAACAGAGGUUUUGAAUAGUGGACAAUCUGCAGUCCAAAAAACCACAACCUUCUAGGGAGCAGAAGACACACUGGUAGGUGACAAAAACAGAGUUCACUGACUGCAGUUUGCAAAAUGCCAUAGGUUAUUUCUGUUUAUUGCCUGGGAUUGUACAAGAAGAUCAGAAUUUAAGCUUGGACAUUCUUGGAUAUUUUCCCCAUGAGACUUGCGUCUGUACAGAGAGAAUGUUAUAAUAUUCUUUCUUCUCCUUGGAGUAGGGAUGAUAUCCCCUUGGCAACAUGAGUGAUCACUUAAAUGGAACAAUAACAUUAAGCAAGUGUUUGCAGUUGUCCUUCAGGGUGCUUUAGCAUCUGGAAACAAGAGAAGAAGUGGUAAGCAAUUAGGAAGACAGAAACAUGCUUGGGAAAGUAAAGAAUAUUUCAAAAAUGGAAUUAUUCUAUAAAAAGAGUCAAAAACGUACCUUUAAAUGAGCAGUUUGGGAGAAUGUUCUAUAGGCUACUUAGGAUGUGACUACUGAAUAUGAGGGAUUUACCCCUUUCUCUGUGGGGUAAGCCAUUGUCUGAGAAAAGACUUUGAUCUGGCUCAGGCUCUGCCCAGACAGGGAAUAUCUCAGUCAAUGACUGUCCCAGUGAAUCACAUUUCUGUGCUCAAUGCCUUCUCCCUGUCUUGGGAGGAAAUGAAUAAUAACUACAGCUACCUCUUCGGCAUCUCUACAUGAAACAAGUUAGGGGGGCAUUUUCAGCUAAGGCAAAGGGGAAAGCUCCAGCGGGAUCAAGGAGUCUUGUACAGCAACUCUUGGACCCAGUUGCCAUUCAGCUCAGAAACAGUUCUCUGCAAGGCUUCUACUAACAUUAACAAUUUGUCCCUUGCAUUGGUAGAAAGCUGUCAGGAUCCCUGAAUCCAUAGUGGUUGGAUGGAAUAGCUGAGCCCCAGUGCACUUCACACAGCACCCACAGCACCAUCGCUUGCAGAAUUAUGGGCUUUAACUCAGCUCUGUGGAUUCAUCCCUUGCUACUUCCUCACUGGCCUUUCUGGUUGACACAAAACUCAGACUUUCACCCAUGUGAAGUUCAAAGCAGCUGCUCACUGUGAGUUCCACUUCCCAAGGGAGCACUCUCCCUCAGACUAAAGUAUGGAAGGUUGGUGCCUCCAGCAAGGAGCAGAGAAGGGCUGAAGCACAGAUCACACUGCAGCUGAAGAAGGUGAUUACAGUUAUGAGGCCAAAACAAGCAGCUAAAAUAUGGAAGUCAGGCAACUUGGUUGAAUUGGAGUUUGACAAGGGAGCAGAGCUUCAGUAGGAUGUUUUUAACAGUCUGAUAUCUGGAAAGUCUCUUUCCUUAAGUGGACAGUUACUACAAACAAAAUGGCCUUCUCCUUCUUUUGUCAGGAUUAAUUCCUGCAAUCCAUACUGUACAUUUCUCUGCGCUUGUCUGCUAACUAUGUAGAAAGUGCUGAGCAAUCAUGCAUAAUUUAUUACUCUUAAUUAAAAUGUACAUUUAUUGUCAGUCUUUUGGGGUAAUUAAAGCACCAUUGAGAGAAUAGGUUUAUGUUUUGUAUCUUUUGCAAAAAUAAACAAAUAAUGUUUUGUGUUCUGUUUGAAGGGGCACAGUUGAUCACCAAGCAGGAUGCAACUAAACUUCCAGAGUAGGUCUGUCAGUUAGCAUGUAUCUAAUAUUCAACAGGAUGUGAACCUACUUUGCUAUAAAGUGGGUUGCCUUAUUCUCUGUGGAGCUAAAUGCUUGUGUUUUGGUUUUUGGCAUAGAUGGAAAGUAUUAUUUAUAGAUGUAUUUCUACACUCCAUCCCCAAAUCCAGACUAUUUUAUUGGCCUCCAGCUGUUCCUCAGAAGCCUACAGAGAUACAUUUGAUGUAUUGCAGUGCCUACUGUAAACACCUGACUUACCAAAGCAUCUUGCAGGUUAGAUCAGGCUUCAUAAUUUAUAGAUCUUGAAGCUCCCCAUGCAGUUGGGUAUCUAUGAAAUGAAGGAAUAAGCGCAUGAAAAGAACAAUCUUCCACAGGGAUGGGAUAGUGAAAGGAUGCACAGGGUGAGACUUUGUAGAAAUUGCAGUAGAACUGUCCUUGAAGAUUUGCAGAAUGUAGUGAAGGUGAUCUUGAGAUUGAGGAAGGGUGGAUAUUAGGAAACUUUUCUUAUCAGAAAGAGUAGUGACGUGCUGGCACAGGCUGCCCAGGGAGUGAUGGAGUCACUGUCUCUGGAAAUGUUCAAGAAAAGGAUGGAUGUCACACUCAGUGGCACAGUCUAGAAUGGUCACAGGCAUGGUUUGAUAGUUUAACCUGAUCUUAGAGGUCUUUCCAAUCUUAGUGAUUCUGUGACUUGAUGAAGUGCAAAGAGCUCAUGAAAGAGAACUGCUAUGGGGCCAUGCAUGGGUAGAGAGGAGAGGCUUCCCAGCUCCCCCUCACAAAUUGCUGUGGGAUUGGGAUUGUUUCACCACCACUCUUCUGCUUGUUUCUUCUUUCUGACAAAAACAUGAUCUGUCUCUGUCUGCAUCCUGUCUUUCUGUCUCUGCCUCCCAUGGACAGGCAGACAGAAAGUCAUUUCAGCUCUGGGGGAGGGUUUUGUACUGAGCAGAAGCCUCUCAGACAAGGAAGGGAGGUGUUUUGCUGUGCCAUCCCCUGAAGUCAUGUCUUUCUCAAAUCAAGGCUACGUGCAGCUCUCUGGGAAGGUCUGACAUUCAUUACCUGCCUUCUGCCAUAAUCUUAUUGCUUCAGAAAUAUGCAGGGAAUUUCAUGAUCCACCCUUCUAGCCCAGUCAGCACGCUCAGCCCUCAGUCCAACCUCCCAGGCCCAAGUCUCACUGGGCAGGCCAGGUGGAUGCUGGAGUGACCCAGUAUCAGCUCUGUCACUGUAGGCAGUACAGAGUGAAACUGAUUAUUAUCAACAGCACAUGUACAAGCUGCGAGGCUUUUGAUGUUGGGGUUCAUGUGUGUUGAGUUAGCCAGCACACCUUAAUCAGAUUUUAUUUUCUUUUUUAAACGAAGAUUCGAAGAGCUCUUAUCUCCCCAUCCUUUGAACUCGUGCUUUGCUGACGUCUCCACAGACACAGCCUUCCCUCUGCCAGGUCCCAGCAGGACCCAGCCACAGCUCCAACUCAGCAAGGCAAAAUGGCAGGCACCACUGGGUGUGCUGAGACAAGCCUGGCACGGCUCUGGAACAAGGAGCUCAUCAUCCGCCUCUGUGAUGUUGGACCAUAUUUUACCAGUGGGGUUGGGGACGGAUGGAAAAAGGACAGGUAAAAGCCAUUGGAAGAGGCUCUGAUGAAUUCAAUAACAGCCUGGCUGUUCUGGCCUUCCCUGAGCACCAGCCAUUUCCUCAUGGGUGCAGGGAGUCUCCAGAAAGCAAACCCUGAAACUCAUCAGCUCCGCUUGCAAAAUUCAGAGUCUUUGUCCUAACCACAAACACUUCACCAGCACCCCACCCGCCACAGAACACAAUAGCUCAUUCCCUCCAUGCCUCUCCAAGCUUUUCACAGAUAUUAGUCAACAUUUUCAUGUUAUUAUUACAGCUUUAC
Long non-coding RNA from Coturnix japonica (Japanese quail), 4272 nucleotides. RefSeq lists it as uncharacterized. The record is from RefSeq and is a predicted model, not a curated record. Lineage: Eukaryota; Metazoa; Chordata; Aves; Galliformes; Phasianidae.